Molecule: ribosomal RNA, 253 nt
Filed under: uncultured bacterium
Lineage: Bacteria
Description: partial 16S ribosomal RNA
Rfam family: Bacterial small subunit ribosomal RNA
Source: RNAcentral
UACGGAGAGUGCGAACGUUGUUCGGAUUCACUGGGCGUAAAGGGCACGUAGGCGGCUUGGCAAAUCGGUCGUGGAAUCCCGACGCUUACCGUCGGAACGGCGGCCGAAAAUACCGAGCUCGAGGGCGUGAGAGGUCACUGGAACUCCUGGUGAAGCGGUGAAAUGCGUAGAUAUCAGGAGGAACGCCGGAGGCGAAAGCGAGUGACUGGCGCGUUCCUGACGCUGAGGUGCGAAAGCUAGGGGAGCAAACAGG